UUUGAUCCUGGCUCAGGACGAACGCUGGCGGCGCGCUUAACACAUGCAAGUCGAACGGGUGGCUUCGGCCAUCAGUGGCGAACGGGUGCGUAACACGUAAGCGACCUGCCUCGAGGUGGGGGAUAACCCCGGGAAACCGGGGCUAAUACCGCAUGAGCUCUCCGAGCUGCAUGGUUUGGAGAGGAAAGCUCCCGCAAGGGAGCGCUUUGAGAGGGGCUUGCGGCGUAUCAGCUGGUUGGUGAGGUAACGGCUCACCAAGGCGAUGACGCGUAGGGGGUCUGAGAGGACGGCCCCCCACAUUGGGACUGAGAUACGGCCCAGACUCCUACGGGAGGCAGCAGUGGGGAAUCUUGCGCAAUGGCCGAGAGGCUGACGCAGCGACGCCGCGUGCGGGAGGAAGGUCUUCGGAUCGUAAACCGCUGUCAGGAGGGACGAACGGGUUUGGGAGGCAAUGCCCAGAUCGUGACGGUACCUCCAGAGGAAGCACCGGCUAACUCCGUGCCAGCAGCCGCGGUAAUACGGAGGGUGCGAGCGUUGUUCGGAAUCAUUGGGCGUAAAGCGCGCGCAGGCGGUUUUACAAGUCUAUGGGUGAAAUGCCGGGGCUCAACUCCGUGCGUGCCCAGGAUACUGUGAGACUGGAGACAUGUAGAGGCAAGCGGAAUUUCGGGUGUAGCGGUGGAAUG
This 683-nucleotide ribosomal RNA is filed under the name uncultured bacterium. RNAcentral describes it as "bacterial SSU rRNA". It matches the Rfam family "Bacterial small subunit ribosomal RNA", at positions 12 to 688 of the family's 1533-position model. The record is from RNAcentral.